Non-coding RNA from Ciona savignyi (Pacific transparent sea squirt), 140 nucleotides. Lineage: Eukaryota; Metazoa; Chordata; Ascidiacea; Phlebobranchia; Cionidae. The record is from Rfam.
AGCUUUGCGCAGUGGCAGUAACAUAGCUGAUGAGGUUCAUCCGAGGCGUGUUUAUUGCUAGUUGAAAACUAUACCCAAUACCCCGCCCUGUGGACGUAUAAACCGUUCGCUGUGGCAAUUUUUGAUGGGUUCCCCGGAAC